Molecule: ribosomal RNA, 406 nt
Filed under: uncultured bacterium
Lineage: Bacteria
Description: partial 16S ribosomal RNA
Rfam family: Bacterial small subunit ribosomal RNA
Source: RNAcentral
AUUGAACGCUGGCGGCAGGCCUAACACAUGCAAGUCGAGCGAGCGGCGGACGGGUGAGUAAUGUCUGGGGAACUGCCUGAUGGAGGGGGAUAACUACUGGAAACGGUAGCUAAUACCGCAUACCAUCGGAUGUACCCAUAUGGGAUUAGCUAGUAGGUGGGGUAAAGGCUCACCUAGGCGACGAUCCCUAGCUGGUCUGAGAGGAUGAUCAGCCACACUGGGACUGAGACACGGUCCAGACUCCUACGGGAGGCAGCAGUGGGGAAUAUUGCACAAUGGGCGCAAGCCUGAUGCAGCCAUGCCGCGUGUGUGAAGAAGGCCUUAGGGUUGUAAAGUACUUUCAGCGGGGAGGCGUUACCCGCAGAAGAAGCACCGGCUAACUCCGUGCCAGCAGCCGCGGUAAUUC